Lycium ferocissimum is the source of this 1763-nucleotide long non-coding RNA. RefSeq lists it as uncharacterized. The transcript has 3 exons. The record is from RefSeq and is a predicted model, not a curated record. Lineage: Eukaryota; Viridiplantae; Streptophyta; Magnoliopsida; Solanales; Solanaceae.
AAGAAGAUGAAGACGAAUGUGGGCUGGUUCUCCCGCUGAAAUGAGUUGACUAAAUGGGAUUUUUUGUUGCCCUUUUGGCCAAAAAAAAACAUUAUAUAUGUUGGGCUUGUUUGUAAAUGGAAAAACUUUGGGGUUUAUAAAAAUGUUAUUUUUUAAAUGAGCAUAACCCCAUUAAUACCUAAUUAUAAUAGAGUCCCUUUUACCCAAUUUUUAAAACUUGUGUCCUAAAUCCUUAAAUAAAUAACCCAAUAGUCCCUUUUAAUUCCAUUCCCUGAGUUAUGUAGUGUAUAAAAAAGUCCAAAAUGGUGUAUGAGCCUAUACUGCUCAACAAAUUUUGAAUUGGAUGCAGUAUUUUUAGGAUUAUUUUCUUCAUUAGUAUUUUUGACCUCGCUAUUUUAAAUAGGUCUACCAAUGAUAAAAGUGAAAGUUAGUCUCAGAAGUCAAAGAAUUAUGUCAAAUUUCAUUUCUGAAAUAAUAAUUUGGGGUUCAAUUCAAGAAGUUGGUAUCCGUUAUGAAGUGAUUUUGGAAUAGUGAAUCUAGCUGUGAAAUUCAAAGUGGUUUCGAAAUUCAUAUAUGCAUAUAACAGACAACUGUUGUCCUUAAUUUUAAUGUCAUUUCCAGAGAAGGCAUGCAAGAUCACACUUGAAGGUCAUUUUGUUCCCGGCUAUCCUCUUUGUGUUUCUUGGUUGUAUUCAAACCUACUUCAACAAGCUGGAUAGAGGGGAUAAACAUGAAGCCCAUAUUCCAACAGAAUAUCCUCCCUUGUUGCAAAUCCCUUAUUCCAAAGUUCGUGCUGUCGUAGACAAUUCUAUUCAAUUUCCAGGCUUGCCUGAUGCAUCAUGCAGGGAAACUGAUUCAUGUCCCGUAACCAUACUUAUCACAGGGAGCAAUAAAACUCUUGUAGAAAGUAAAUGUUCUUUUCUCAUAUGUCAUUCAAGUGUAUUUGCGUGCACAAUUAGGACUGUGACGUUCUAAAUGUAAUUUGUGAAUUUGGUAGGUGUGGCUGAAAAGAUGUUCAUAGAUACUCCUGAUCCAAAAUCAAUCUCUGACUUAGAUAGUAUUGCUAAUGGCAUUUUUGUGAGUAUUCUUUUCUCUUCCUUUUGGUAUCCUUAUUUAUCCUUCUCUUGUUCUUCUUUUCUGGAUUUUGCAUUUUUGUUGUCUUUUCUAUACUUAUCAUGUGUUGCGAGUACUCUAUAACAUUUGUUUUUGUAAUUACUACAGGGAGAAAAUGUACAGGGAAAAAAUGAUGGCUGGCAUAAACCUCUCAUUCAUGUCCAGGCUCGAUGCUCCAAAAACUCUUCAUCAGAGGUAGUGGAAUCCGAUUUCAUAUGCGUCGAAGGUUUAAAUUUGUGGCGUAACAGCUCUUUGGACGUUUACACUGAGCUAUUCAAAGGAUACAGAGAAGGAAAUACAAAAGGAAAAACCAAUGAAAUUUUGGCAGGCAUCUAAUGGCUAUCUCCAAUAUCUACUUGGUCCUGCAACUAAGAUGAUUCUAGAGUAUGUAGCUGAGAUGCCAACCCCUGCUGGCUUCAAAAGGCUACUUGAUCCACCUUCAGUUCUAGGUGUUGUCCUUCAUACAUGGGUCAUUCUCCAAAUAUUCCCGAUAACUAUCUAUUUAGUUUGUUAAGAGGUGCAUAACUGAAUGCUUAUGGUGGAAGUUACUUGCAAUUAUAUUCUAGAGCCACUUUCUUGAUCCUGGGAUUUCAUUCAAGUUAAGUGAUUUUAGUAGUCCGCACUCUACAUAUUGUUUACAACCUUGAAUA